RNAcentral lists this transfer RNA (57 nucleotides) under Bemisia tabaci. RNAcentral describes it as "tRNA-Ser". Lineage: Eukaryota; Metazoa; Arthropoda; Insecta; Hemiptera; Aleyrodidae. The record is from RNAcentral.
AAGUCAAUUAUGUUAAUGUUUUGAAAGCAUUAUUUAGGUUAAUAAACCUUUGAUUUU